RNAcentral lists this ribosomal RNA (466 nucleotides) under uncultured bacterium. RNAcentral describes it as "partial 16S ribosomal RNA". It matches the Rfam family "Bacterial small subunit ribosomal RNA", at positions 28 to 507 of the family's 1533-position model. The record is from RNAcentral.
GAUGAACGCUGGCGGCGUGCUUAACACAUGCCAGUCGAACGAUGAAGCCCAGCUUGCUGGGUGGAUUAGUGGCGAACGGGUGAGUAACACGUGAGUAACCUGCCCUUAACUCUGGGAUAAGCCUGGGAAACUGGGUCUAAUACCGGAUAGGAGCGCCGACCGCAUGGUGGGUGUUGGAAAGAUUUAUCGGUUUUGGAUGGACUCGCGGCCUAUCAGCUUGUUGGUGAGGUAAUGGCUCACCAAGGCGACGACGGGUAGCCGGCCUGAGAGGGUGACCGGCCACACUGGGACUGAGACACGGCCCAGACUCCUACGGGAGGCAGCAGUGGGGAAUAUUGCACAAUGGGCGCAAGCCUGAUGCAGCGACGCCGCGUGAGGGAUGACGGCCUUCGGGUUGUAAACCUCUUUCAGUAGGGAAGAAGCGAAAGUGACGGUACCUGCAGAAGAAGCACCGGCUAACUACGUG